RNAcentral lists this ribosomal RNA (265 nucleotides) under uncultured prokaryote. RNAcentral's name for it is "partial 16S ribosomal RNA". It matches the Rfam family "Bacterial small subunit ribosomal RNA", at positions 505 to 769 of the family's 1533-position model. The record is from RNAcentral.
GUGCCAGCAGCCGCGGUAAUACAGAGAGUGCUAGCGUUAAUCGGAAUUACUGGGCGUAAAGCGCGCGUAGGUGGUUUGUUAAGUUGAAUGUGAAAUCCCCGGGCUCAACCUGGGAACUGCAUCCAAAACUGGCAAGCUAGAGUAUGGUAGAGGGUGGUGGAAUUUCCUGUGUAGCGGUGAAAUGCGUAGAUAUAGGAAGGAACACCAGUGGCGAAGGCGACCACCUGGACUGAUACUGACACUGAGGUGCGAAAGCGUGGGGAGC